CUUGUAUUUAUCAAAAUUUCUAUAAUGUUUUAGAUUAUUUUUCAAAAUUCAUUUACAACUCAUUGGUUUGUACUCAGGAGGCAAUUCUUUCAAAUGUCAAGUCUUAUUAGACCAUAGAGAAUCUAUCUUAUCUUUUAUGGCCUCUUGCCAUAUAUCAAACUUCAAUGUUUUGUGGAUUUAUAUUAUUCAACAACUAACUCUUUGUUUUGAUUAUUUUUCGUUACAGUUCUUUUCUUUUUUUAUUUUUUAUUUUUUAUGUUUUGAUGAAAAGGUAAAAUUGAACAAUGGUUGGAGAGAUAAUUGUUUUAUUUGAUCACAGGUACAAAGAGUUGUUCACAAAACUCAUUGCUAAAAAGGUGAUUGUUGGGUUGUCUUAACAGCCAACAAGAAGAAAGCUUUAUGCAGCCAAAGUUCAUGGAUCUUGCAAGUAAUCCUCCCUCAAAGAAUGAUUAUACAACUAUUCCAGAGGAUUAUCCUUUAGUAUGGGUUUUCAGUGACGAUGAUCCAGAAAACUGACAUGUUCAGAUAAAAAGUGUACGAGUCGAAGAAAGGAGCGACAACGGACCGAAAAGGAGCAAAAAUGGACAAAAAGGACCACACAUGUGCAGCCAAUUGGGCCACACAUGUGCAGCCCACCAAACACACUUGACGGUCACCAAGAAGCCCAAAGUGGCGCCUGCCACAAGGAAACAAGUGCUGCUCGCCAGCCAACCAAAAGUGGCAACCGCCACAUGCACCAAAGUGGCCCUCGCCACUCCCUUUCAUCAUGGACGUCCAGUUGAUCCAACGGCAACGCGCUACUUUUCCUUAAGUCCCACAUCGGACAGAUUUGCUCUUUUGUCUCUUGUAAUUUAGUAUAAAUAGGUCCCUUUUCUCCACUUUCUAAAGAACCAACUGAUAACACUUGACUAGAGAAUUGAAAACUAGGCUUAGUACCACAAGGUUUUCUUCUCUAAAGUCGAGAGUUUAGUAUUAUUUUAUUCUCCGUUGAGAAUAAAAUAAGUUUUUUUUAUUUUCCUACCGUUACGCUGUCGGAAUCCGUACUCGAGAUUUCUUUUUAAUUCAGGUUCUUAUUUUAUUUUAUGGUCUUA
This is a long non-coding RNA of Trifolium pratense (red clover), 1091 nucleotides long. RefSeq lists it as uncharacterized. The transcript is spliced from 2 exons. Lineage: Eukaryota; Viridiplantae; Streptophyta; Magnoliopsida; Fabales; Fabaceae. The record is from RefSeq and is a predicted model, not a curated record.